Molecule: ribosomal RNA, 468 nt
Filed under: uncultured bacterium
Lineage: Bacteria
Description: partial 16S ribosomal RNA
Rfam family: Bacterial small subunit ribosomal RNA
Source: RNAcentral
GACGAACGCUGGCGGCGUGCUUAACACAUGCAAGUCGAACGGAAAGGCCCUGCUUUUGUGGGGUGCUCGAGUUGCGAACGGGUGAGUAACACGUGAGUAACCUGCCCUUGACUUUGGGAUAACUUCAGGAAACUGGGGCUAAUACCGGAUAGGAGCUCCUGCUGCAUGGUGGGGGUUGGAAAGUUUCGGCGGUUGGGGAUGGACUCGCGGCGUAUCAGAUUGUUGGUGGGGUAGUGGCUUACCAAGGCUUUGACGGGUAGCCGGCCUGAGAGGGUGACCGGCCACAUUGGGACUGAGAUACGGCACAGACUACUACGGGAGGCAGCAGUGGGGAAUAUUGCACAAUGGGAGGAAGCAUGAUGCAGUAACGCAGCGUGCGGGAUGACGGCCUUCGGGUUGUAAAGCGCUUUCGCCUGUGACGAAGCGUGAGUGACGGUAAUGGGUAAAGAAGCACCGGCUAACUACGUG